RNAcentral lists this non-coding RNA (28 nucleotides) under Cricetulus griseus (Chinese hamster). Lineage: Eukaryota; Metazoa; Chordata; Mammalia; Rodentia; Cricetidae. The record is from RNAcentral.
AACUCUGUAUUUUGACUGUUGAGGCGAA